RNAcentral lists this ribosomal RNA (2709 nucleotides) under Escherichia coli. RNAcentral describes it as "bacterial LSU rRNA". It matches the Rfam family "Bacterial large subunit ribosomal RNA". The record is from RNAcentral. Lineage: Bacteria; Pseudomonadati; Pseudomonadota; Gammaproteobacteria; Enterobacterales; Enterobacteriaceae.
AACAUCUAAGUACCCCGAGGAAAAGAAAUCAACCGAGAUUCCCCCAGUAGCGGCGAGCGAACGGGGAGGAGCCCAGAGCCUGAAUCAGUGUGUGUGUUAGUGGAAGCGUCUGGAAAGGCGCGCGAUACAGGGUGACAGCCCCGUACACAAAAAUGCACAUAUUGUGAGCUCGAUGAGUAGGGCGGGACACGUGGUAUCCUGUCUGAAUAUGGGGGGACCAUCCUCCAAGGCUAAAUACUCCUGACUGACCGAUAGUGAACCAGUACCGUGAGGGAAAGGCGAAAAGAACCCCGGCGAGGGGAGUGAAAAAGAACCUGAAACCGUGUACGUACAAGCAGUGGGAGCCUCUUAAUGGGGUGACUGCGUACCUUUUGUAUAAUGGGUCAGCGACUUAUAUUCUGUAGCAAGGUUAACCGAAUAGGGGAGCCGAAGGGAAACCGAGUCUUAACUGGGCGUUAAGUUGCAGGGUAUAGACCCGAAACCCGGUGAUCUAGCCAUGGGCAGGUUGAAGGUUGGGUAACACUAACUGGAGGACCGAACCGACUAAUGUUGAAAAAUUAGCGGAUGACUUGUGGCUGGGGGUGAAAGGCCAAUCAAACCGGGAGAUAGCUGGUUCUCCCCGAAAGCUAUUUAGGUAGCGCCUCGUGAAUUCAUCUCCGGGGGUAGAGCACUGUUUCGGCAAGGGGGUCAUCCCGACUUACCAACCCGAUGCAAACUGCGAAUACCGGAGAAUGUUAUCACGGGAGACACACGGCGGGUGCUAACGUCCGUCGUGAAGAGGGAAACAACCCAGACCGCCAGCUAAGGUCCCAAAGUCAUGGUUAAGUGGGAAACGAUGUGGGAAGGCCCAGACAGCCAGGAUGUUGGCUUAGAAGCAGCCAUCAUUUAAAGAAAGCGUAAUAGCUCACUGGUCGAGUCGGCCUGCGCGGAAGAUGUAACGGGGCUAAACCAUGCACCGAAGCUGCGGCAGCGACACUAUGUGUUGUUGGGUAGGGGAGCGUUCUGUAAGCCUGUGAAGGUGUCCUGUGAGGUUUGCUGGAGGUAUCAGAAGUGCGAAUGCUGACAUAAGUAACGAUAAAGCGGGUGAAAAGCCCGCUCGCCGGAAGACCAAGGGUUCCUGUCCAACGUUAAUCGGGGCAGGGUGAGUCGACCCCUAAGGCGAGGCCGAAAGGCGUAGUCGAUGGGAAACAGGUUAAUAUUCCUGUACUUGGUGUUACUGCGAAGGGGGGACGGAGAAGGCUAUGUUGGCCGGGCGACGGUUGUCCCGGUUUAAGCGUGUAGGCUGGUUUUCCAGGCAAAUCCGGAAAAUCAAGGCUGAGGCGUGAUGACGAGGCACUACGGUGCUGAAGCGACAAAUGCCCUGCUUCCAGGAAAAGCCUCUAAGCAUCAGGUAACAUCAAAUCGUACCCCAAACCGACACAGGUGGUCAGGUAGAGAAUACCAAGGCGCUUGAGAGAACUCGGGUGAAGGAACUAGGCAAAAUGGUGCCGUAACUUCGGGAGAAGGCACGCUGAUAUGUAGGUGAAGCGACUUGCUCGUGGAGCUGAAAUCAGUCGAAGAUACCAGCUGGCUGCAACUGUUUAUUAAAAACACAGCACUGUGCAAACACGAAAGUGGACGUAUACGGUGUGACGCCUGCCCGGUGCCGGAAGGUUAAUUGAUGGGGUUAGCGGUAACGCGAAGCUCUUGAUCGAAGCCCCGGUAAACGGCGGCCGUAACUAUAACGGUCCUAAGGUAGCGAAAUUCCUUGUCGGGUAAGUUCCGACCUGCACGAAUGGCGUAAUGAUGGCCAGGCUGUCUCCACCCGAGACUCAGUGAAAUUGAACUCGCUGUGAAGAUGCAGUGUACCCGCGGCAAGACGGAAAGACCCCGUGAACCUUUACUAUAGCUUGACACUGAACAUUGAGCCUUGAUGUGUAGGAUAGGUGGGAGGCUUUGAAGUGUGGACGCCAGUCUGCAUGGAGCCGACCUUGAAAUACCACCCUUUAAUGUUUGAUGUUCUAACGUGGGCCCCUUACCGGGGUUGCGGACAGUGUCUGGUGGGUAGUUUGACUGGGGCGGUCUCCUCCUAAAGAGUAACGGAGGAGCACGAAGGUUGGCUAAUCCUGGUCGGACAUCAGGAGGUUAGUGCAAUGGCAUAAGCCAGCUUGACUGCGAGCGUGACGGCGCGAGCAGGUGCGAAAGCAGGUCAUAGUGAUCCGGUGGUUCUGAAUGGAAGGGCCAUCGCUCAACGGAUAAAAGGUACUCCGGGGAUAACAGGCUGAUACCGCCCAAGAGUUCAUAUCGACGGCGGUGUUUGGCACCUCGAUGUCGGCUCAUCACAUCCUGGGGCUGAAGUAGGUCCCAAGGGUAUGGCUGUUCGCCAUUUAAAGUGGUACGCGAGCUGGGUUUAGAACGUCGUGAGACAGUUCGGUCCCUAUCUGCCGUGGGCGCUGGAGAACUGAGGGGGGCUGCUCCUAGUACGAGAGGACCGGAGUGGACGCAUCACUGGUGUUCGGGUUGUCAUGCCAAUGGCACUGCCCGGUAGCUAAAUGCGGAAGAGAUAAGUGCUGAAAGCAUCUAAGCACGAAACUUGCCCCGAGAUGAGUUCUCCCUGACUCCUUGAGAGUCCUGAAGGAACGUUGAAGACGACGACGUUGAUAGGCCGGGUGUGUAAGCGCAGCGAUGCGUUGAGCUAACCGGUACUAAUGAACCGUGAGGCUUAACCUU